GACCGCUCCGCCAUCCUGAGCUUG
RNAcentral lists this non-coding RNA (24 nucleotides) under Arabidopsis thaliana (thale cress). Lineage: Eukaryota; Viridiplantae; Streptophyta; Magnoliopsida; Brassicales; Brassicaceae. The record is from RNAcentral.